GAUGAAGAACGUAGCGAAAUGCGAUAAGUAGUGUGAAUUGCAGAAUUCAGUGAAUCAUCGAAUCUUUGAACGCACAUUGCGCCCUUUGGUAUUCCUUAGGGCAUGCCUGUUCGAGCGUCAUUUAAACCUUCAAGCUCAGCUUGGUGUUGGGUGACUGUCCGCUUCACCGCGGACUCGCCUCAAAAUUAUUGGCGGCCGGUACAUUGGCUUCGAGCGCAGCAGAAACGCGAACUCGGGCCCGUCGUAUUGGCUCCCAGAAGCUAUCUUCACAAUUUUGACCUCGGAUCAGGUAGGGAUACCCGCUGAACUUAAGUAUAUCAAUAAGCGGAGGA
RNAcentral lists this unclassified non-coding RNA (332 nucleotides) under soil metagenome. RNAcentral describes it as "partial contains 5.8S ribosomal RNA, internal transcribed spacer 2, and large subunit ribosomal RNA". The stretch from base 1 to 120 matches the Rfam family "5.8S ribosomal RNA", at positions 35 to 154 of the family's 154-position model. The record is from RNAcentral.